GCGGGUGUAGCUCAGUUGGUUAGAGCGCCGGCCUGUCACGCCGGAGGUCGCGGGUUCGAGCCUCGUCACUCGCGCCA
Molecule: transfer RNA, 77 nt
Filed under: Sphingobium sp.
Lineage: Bacteria; Pseudomonadati; Pseudomonadota; Alphaproteobacteria; Sphingomonadales; Sphingobiaceae
Description: tRNA-Asp
Rfam family: tRNA
About the family: Transfer RNA (tRNA) molecules are approximately 80 nucleotides in length. Their secondary structure includes four short double-helical elements and three loops (D, anti-codon, and T loops).
Source: RNAcentral